UUCAUUGCGCAUGGCGCGCCUGCUCGAGAACCAUCCCAAGAUCGAGCGAGUGUACUACCCUGGUCUCCUGAGCAGCCCGUGGCACGACAUUGCCAAGAGCCAGAUGACUGGUUUCGGCGGUGUCAUUAGCUUCGAGGUAGCCUCGGACCUGCAUGGUGUCAUGAGGUUCAUCGACGCGCUGGAGAUACCUUUCAUCGCGACGUCGCUCGGUGGGUGUGAGAGCCUCGUGCAGCAGCCGGCGGUCAUGUCCUUCUGGUGCGUUGUUUUUUUGGAUUAGUUUACAUUUGCAUCUCACUACAAACUUAUAUGAAGAUGCAUGCAGCAUGUAUGGUUGAAUUUUUUGACUUAUAUGGCAUGGAUCUUUGUUUUCAUCAGGGGUCAGAGUGAGGAGGAGAAAUCCAAGAAUGGGAUCAAAGACAACUUGGUGCGGUUUAGCUUCGGGAUUGAGAAGUUUGAGGAUCUUAGGGAUGACAUUAUCCAAGCCCUGGAGAAGAUUUAGGACACUUCCUGAUCAUCAAUAGUAACAAGGAUCUUGACCAAAUUAGCUAUGUCAAAACCCUUUUGUACAUAUGAUAGGUAGUUAAUUUUUGCUAAAUUUCAAUGGAGAUGGAAUUGGUAGGAUUUUGUUAUUUCUUGAAGGAAGAAGCUCCAAUUUGCUUCAGGCCUAGAACCAUAUAUAAUUGGAAGGAGAUGAAUAUACAAGANNNNNNNNNNNNNNNNNNNNNNNNNNNNNNGCCCGUGGCACGACAUUGCCAAGAGCCAGAUGACUGGUUUCGGCGGUGUCAUUAGCUUCGAGGUAGCCUCGGACCUGCAUGGUGUCAUGAGGUUCAUCGACGCGCUGGAGAUACCUUUCAUCGCGACGUCGCUCGGUGGGUGUGAGAGCCUCGUGCAGCAGCCGGCGGUCAUGUCCUUCUGGUGCGUUGUUUUUUUGGAUUAGUUUACAUUUGCAUCUCACUACAAACUUAUAUGAAGAUGCAUGCAGCAUGUAUGGU
This 992-nucleotide long non-coding RNA is filed under the name Hordeum vulgare. RNAcentral's name for it is "long non-coding RNA (HVUL_LNC009243)". Lineage: Eukaryota; Viridiplantae; Streptophyta; Magnoliopsida; Poales; Poaceae. The record is from RNAcentral.